CUUUGUCUCCACUUUUUCCUAUUUAAAAUGUUUUCUGCAUUUUCCAAAGUUUGGCGUGGAGAAGAACGACUAGUCCAUGCGAAUUAUUUUUGGGGUUCAUGGAAAAACACCCCUUUGAGCAUAAAAUAUUACAUUAUUUAAAUCCACAAACCAUUUUUUGGAUAUCAUCUAUUCACAUUCCCUCAGGUGAACUUACACCAUAGAGACCACAACCACCUCCCCUUCCCUUGUUAGUUCCACCCCCAAUUGAUGCCAACCCCAACUAGGCCAGCCCUAGCACAACCCCUAUCCCACACAACCCAGCACAAAUGCAUGCACCCCCCCGUACCUGCAACCUAGAGAAAUCCCCUCCCUUUCUUCGUCCCACUCCCGAUGCAAUUUGAAGAACCCUUCUUUGAUUUGCACACCCACACAUUCUCUCCAAUUAUUUCUGGUGUUCCAGUUGCCCCCUUGCCUCCAGGAGCGACAAUGAAAAAGAAAUUGAUAUUUUGACUCUUGUGGUUUUGCUAACUAUUUUCCAGAAUUUUAUGACACAACUUAGCCUUUUUUCUUCUUCUUUGCAUGUUUUUUUAGGGUCUUUUUUUUUUUAUCGAUAAACAAAUUUUUAUUGGUCAAAAGAGAGACAAAAUGCCCAAGUAUACGAGACAUAUACAAGAGUAACGUCUAGGUGUGCUAGUUUAGAGAUACAAGGAAAUCAUGAAAAGACUUGCCAUGAAAAUCAAUUACAAUCAAUCAAUGGAGUAAAGUAUUGAAAAACAAAAAUCUAAGCUCUUCUAUUGAUCUCUCUUGAUCUUCAAAGCAUCUUGCAUUCCGCUCCCUCCAAAUGCACCACCAUAGACAUAUAGGUAACAUCUUCCAUAUGGAUGCAAUUUGAGAGUUGCCCCUAAUACCUCUUCAAGAAGCUAAAAAAUCACAUACUCUUUCCGGCAUCACCCACGCUAACCCCGAUCGUGCAAAGACUUCAAUCCACAAGGUCAUGGCAAUCUCACAAUGUAGUAAUAGAUGGUCAAUGGACUCUCCGCUCUUCUUACACUUAUAACACCAGUCCAUAACUAUAAUGCCACGUUUCCUCAGGUUAUCUAUAGUAAGAAUCUUCCCUAAAGAGGCUGUCCAUACAAAAUAAGCCGCCUUUAGAGGUGCCUUUGUCUUCCAAAUGCUCUUACAUUGGAACGGGUCUGAGUUGUGCAUGGUCAAGGAAUGGUAGAAAGAGCAGGCCGUAAAAACUCCCUUCUUAGAAGGGCGCC
This is a long non-coding RNA of Juglans microcarpa x Juglans regia, 1244 nucleotides long. RefSeq lists it as uncharacterized. Lineage: Eukaryota; Viridiplantae; Streptophyta; Magnoliopsida; Fagales; Juglandaceae. The transcript has 2 exons. The record is from RefSeq and is a predicted model, not a curated record.